GACGAACGCUGGCGGCGUGCUUAACACAUGCAAGUCGAACGGAAAGGCCCUGCUUUUGUGGGGUGCUCGAGUGGCGAACGGGUGAGUAACACGUGAGUAACCUGCCCUUGACUUUGGGAUAACUUCAGGAAACUGGGGCUAAUACCGGAUAGGAGCUCCUGCUGCAUGGUGGGGGUUGGAAAGUUUCGGCGGUUGGGGAUGGACUCGCGGCUUAUCAGCUUGUUGGUGGGGUAGUGGCUUACCAAGGCUUUGACGGGUAGUCGGCCUGAGAGGGUGACCGGCCACAUUGGGACUGAGAUACGGCCCAGACUCCUACGGGGGGCAGCAGUGGGGAAUAUUGCACAAUGGGCGGAAGCCUGAUGCAGCAACGCCGCGUGCGGGAUGACGGCCUUCGGGUUGUAAACCGCUUUCGCCUGUGACGAAGCGUGAGUGACGGUAAUGGGUAAAGAAGCACCGGCUAACUACGUG
This 468-nucleotide ribosomal RNA is filed under the name uncultured bacterium. RNAcentral describes it as "partial 16S ribosomal RNA". It matches the Rfam family "Bacterial small subunit ribosomal RNA", at positions 28 to 507 of the family's 1533-position model. The record is from RNAcentral.